Molecule: ribosomal RNA, 253 nt
Filed under: uncultured bacterium
Lineage: Bacteria
Description: partial 16S ribosomal RNA
Rfam family: Bacterial small subunit ribosomal RNA
Source: RNAcentral
UACAGAGGGUGCAAGCGUUAAUCGGAAUUACUGGGCGUAAAGCGUGCGUAGUCGGUUAUCUAAGUCGGGUGUGAAAUCCCCGGGCUCAACCUGGGAAUUGCAUUCGAUACUGGAUAGCUAGAGUUCGGCAGAGGGAAGCGGAAUUUCCGGUGUAGCGGUGAAAUGCGUAGAUAUCGGAAGGAACAUCUGUGGCGAAGGCGACUGCCUGGACCAGCACUGACACUGAGGCACGAAAGCGUGGGGAGCAAACAGG